Molecule: ribosomal RNA, 396 nt
Filed under: uncultured bacterium
Lineage: Bacteria
Description: partial 16S ribosomal RNA
Rfam family: Bacterial small subunit ribosomal RNA
Source: RNAcentral
AUACGUAGGUGGCAAGCGUUGUCCGGAAUUAUUGGGCGUAAAGCGCGCGCAGGCGGUCCUUUAAGUCUGAUGUGAAAGCCCACGGCUCAACCGUGGAGGGUCAUUGGAAACUGGGGGACUUGAGUGCAGAAGAGGAAAGUGGAAUUCCAAGUGUAGCGGUGAAAUGCGUAGAGAUUUGGAGGAACACCAGUGGCGAAGGCGACUUUCUGGUCUGUAACUGACGCUGAGGCGCGAAAGCGUGGGGAGCAAACAGGAUUAGAUACCCUGGUAGUCCACGCCGUAAACGAUGAGUGCUAAGUGUUAGGGGGUUUCCGCCCCUUAGUGCUGCAGCUAACGCAUUAAGCACUCCGCCUGGGGAGUACGGUCGCAAGACUGAAACUCAAAGGAAUUGACGGG